Molecule: ribosomal RNA, 1343 nt
Filed under: uncultured bacterium
Lineage: Bacteria
Description: 16S ribosomal RNA
Rfam family: Bacterial small subunit ribosomal RNA
Source: RNAcentral
GACGAACGCUUUCGGCGUGCUUAACACAUGCAAGUCGAACGGAAAGGCCCUGCUUUUGUGGGGUGCUCGAGUGGCGAACGGGUGAGUAACACGUGAGUAACCUGCCCUUGACUUUGGGAUAACUUCAGGAAACUGGGGCUAAUACCGGAUAGGAGCUCCUGCUGCAUGGUGGGGGUUGGAAAGUUUCGGCGGUUGGGGAUGGACUCGCGGCUUAUCAGCUUGUUGGUGGGGUAGUGGCUUACCAAGGCUUUGACGGGUAGCCGGCCUGAGAGGGUGACCGGCCACAUUGGGACUGAGAUACGGCCCAGACUCCUACGGGAGGCAGCAGUGGGGAAUAUUGCACAAUGGGCGGAAGCCUGAUGCAGCAACGCCGCGUGCGGGAUGACGGCCUUCGGGUUGUAAACCGCUUUCGCCUGUGACGAAGCGUGAGUGACGGUAAUGGGUAAAGAAGCACCGGCUAACUACGUGCCAGCAGCCGCGGUGAUACGUAGGGUGCGAGCGUUGUCCGGAUUUAUUGGGCGUAAAGGGCUCGUAGGUGGUUGAUCGCGUCGGAAGUGUAAUCUUGGGGCUUAACCCUGAGCGUGCUUUCGAUACGGGUUGACUUGAGGAAGGUAGGGGAGAAUGGAAUUCCUGGUGGAGCGGUGGAAUGCGCAGAUAUCAGGAGGAACACCAGUGGCGAAGGCGGUUCUCUGGGCCUUUCCUGACGCUGAGGAGCGAAAGCGUGGGGAGCGAACAGGCUUAGAUACCCUGGUAAUCCACGCUGUAAACGGUGGGUACUAGGUGUGGGGUCCAUUCCACGGGUUCCGUGCCGUAGCUAACGCUUUAAGUACCCCGCCUGGGGAGUACGGCCGCAAGGCUAAAACUCAAAGGAAUUGACGGGGCCCCGCACAAGCGGCGGAGCAUGCGGAUUAAUUCGAUGCAACGCGUAGAACCUUACCUGGGUUUGACAUGGAUCGGGAGUGCUCAGAGAUGGGUGUGCCUCUUUUGGGGUCGGUUCACAGGUGGUGCAUGGCUGUCGUCAGCUCGUGUCGUGAGAUGUUGGGUUAAGUCCCGCAACGAGCGCAACCCUUGUUCACUGUUGCCAGCACGUUAUGGUGGGGACUCAGUGGAGACCGCCGGGGUCAACUCGGAGGAAGGUGGGGAUGACGUCAAGUCAUCAUGCCCCUUAUGUCCAGGGCUUCACGCAUGCUACAAUGGCUGGUACAGAGAGUGGCGAGCCUGUGAGGGUGAGCGAAUCUCGGAAAGCCGGUCUCAGUUCGGAUUGGGGUCUGCAACUCGACCUCAUGAAGUCGGAGUCGCUAGUAAUCGCAGAUCAGCAACGCUGCGGUGAAUACGUUCCCGGG